This is a long non-coding RNA of Alosa sapidissima (American shad), 702 nucleotides long. RefSeq lists it as uncharacterized. The transcript is spliced from 3 exons. NCBI's taxonomy places the organism in Eukaryota, Metazoa, Chordata, Actinopteri, Clupeiformes, Clupeidae. The record is from RefSeq and is a predicted model, not a curated record.
AAAAAUACAACUUGCCUUUAGUACUGCCAAAUAACUUUUCUGACUAAACAGAACUCAAAUAAUCAAAUAGUGUAGUAAAACUCAUUAUAACAAGUUUUCACAACUAAUUUGGGAAUUUCACCUAACAAACUUAAGAAACUGAGUUGACUCAACUUGCAUAAUUAAGUAUCUAUAAGAGAGAAGUUUCCCAAAGUUCACUGAACUUCUUAGUCAAGUUGGCGCAAGCGCAUUGUUUCCUAACGUAUCAAGGCGACCUGUGGGCUGCAGCUUGAAUUUGUCAGGAGGACAGAAGCCAGUCACCUUCCCUACCUGUAUGCAGCGUGGAGCAAAUGACAACAGCAUUGUCAAAGACUCUUCUGUUGCAAUGCAAUGUAAGGAGUGUCCAUUUUCUCACCCGGAUGUAGAGACCCUCCUGACCCAUUACAGGCUUCAUCACGGUCACCAGGGAAAAAGCUGGCUCUGCCUCCACCCUAAGUGCAUGUGCAUCUUUAAGACUUCAGGAUGCAGAUGCUGAGGAGGACUAGAGGCAUGAAUGAAUUGGAAUCUUGACCGUCAUUGAAGACGACCUCGCCAUGAAAGCGCCAGACACUGUCACCAAUAUCGCCAUCGUCCUGGAAGAGACUGUUGUUCUACAGGACAUCAAGGAUCUUCUAUCUGCACUGGCCUACCUAUGCGGACUCCUGCAUGACAUGGGGUGCCAAU